UUUACACAUGCAAGUCGAACGGGCUUAAAGAGCUUGCUCUUUAAGUUAGUGGCGAACGGGUGAGUAAUAUAUCGGAACGUAUCCAAUAAUGGGGGAUAACUAAUCGAAAGGUUGGCUAAUACCGCAUACGCCCUACGGGGGAAAGCUAGGGAUCUUCGGACCUGGCGUUAAUGGAGCGGCCGAUAUCUGAUUAGCUAGUUGGUGAGGUAAGAGCUCACCAAGGCGACGAUCAGUAGCUGGUCUGAGAGGACGACCAGCCACACUGGAACUGAGACACGGUCCAGACUCCUACGGGAGGCAGCAGUGGGGAAUUUUGGACAAUGGGCGAAAGCCUGAUCCAGCCAUUCCGCGUGAGUGAAGAAGGCCUUCGGGUUGUAAAGCUCUUUCGCAAGGGAAGAACACUUAGUCUCUAACAUAGACUGAGGUUGACGGUACCUUGAUAAGAAGCACCGGCUAACUACGUGCCAGCAGCCGCGGUAAUACGUAGGGUGCGAGCGUUAAUCGGAAUUACUGGGCGUAAAGCGUGCGCAGGCUGUUCUGUAAGUCAGAUGUGAAAUCCCCGAGCUCAACUUGGGAACUGCGUUUGAAACUACAGGACUAGAAUAUGUCAGAGGGGGGUAGAAUUCCACGUGUAGCAGUGAAAUGCGUAGAGAUGUGGAGGAAUACCAAUGGCGAAGGCAGCCCCCUGGGAUAAUAUUGACGCUCAUGCACGAAAGCGUGGGGAGCAAACAGGAUUAGAUACCCUGGUAGUCCACGCCCUAAACGAUGUCUACUAGU
Molecule: ribosomal RNA, 777 nt
Filed under: uncultured bacterium
Lineage: Bacteria
Description: bacterial SSU rRNA
Rfam family: Bacterial small subunit ribosomal RNA
Source: RNAcentral